UAACGUAGGGUGCGAGGCGUUGUCCGGAAUUUAUUGGGCGUAAAAGGAGCUCGGUAGGCGGUUUGUCGCGUCUGCUAGGUGAAAACCUCGGGGGCUUAACCCCCGGGCCUUGCAGUGGGUACGGGCAGACUAGAGUGCGGUAGGGGAGACUGGAAUUCCUGGUGUAGCGGUGAAAUGCGCAGAUAUCAGGAGGAACACCGGUGGCGAAGGCGGGUCUCUGGGCCGAUACUGACGCUGAGGAGCGAAAGCGUGGGGAGCGAACAGG
RNAcentral lists this ribosomal RNA (265 nucleotides) under uncultured bacterium. Its description in RNAcentral is "partial 16S ribosomal RNA". It matches the Rfam family "Bacterial small subunit ribosomal RNA", at positions 523 to 776 of the family's 1533-position model. The record is from RNAcentral.